UUGCUCUAUCGAUGAGAGUGGCGCACGGGUGAGUAACGCGUGGGUAACCUGCCUCGAAGUUUGGGAUAACAUUGGGAAACCAAUGCUAAUACCGACUAAUUUUUAUUACUGUAUGGUGAUUUAAUAAAAGAUGCCCUCUUCUAUGGUAUCGCUUCGAGAGGGGCCUGCGUCCUAUUAGCUAGUUGGUGGGGUAACAGCCUACCAAGGCGAAGAUGGGUAGCCGGCUUGAGAGAGUGAUCGGCCACACUGGAACUGAGACACGGUCCAGACUCCUACGGGAGGCAGCAGUAGGGAAUAUUCCGCAAUGGGCGAAAGCCUGACGGAGCAAUACCUCGUGAGUGAUGAAGGCUUUAGGGUCGUAAAGCUCAGUCAGCAGGGAAGAAGGGUUAUGGUUCGAAUAGGGCUAUAGCUUUGACGGUACCUGCAGAGGAAGCCACGGCUAAUUACGUGCCAGCAGCCGCGGUAAUACGUAAGUGGCAAGCGUUGUCCGGAUUUACUGGGCGUAAAGAACGCGUAGGCGGUUUUCUAAGUUGGGGGUGAAAUCCUGAGGCCCAACCUCAGGCCUGCCUCCAAAACUGGAGAACUAGAGUUUCGGAGAGGAAGAUGGUAUUCCAUGUGUAGCGGUGAAAUGCGUAGAUAUAUGGGAGAACACCAAUGGCGAAAGCAGUCUUCUGGACGAAUACUGACGCUGAGGCGUGAAAGCGUGGGUAGCGAACAGGAUUAGAUACCCUGGUAGUCCACGCCGUAAACGAUGGGUACUAGUUGCUGGGGAUAAUAGUCUUCGGUGACGAAGUUAACGCAUUAAGUACCCCGCCUGGGGAGUACGGUCGCAAGAUUAAAACUCAAAGGAAUUGACGGGGGCCCGCACAA
This 870-nucleotide ribosomal RNA is filed under the name metagenome. RNAcentral's name for it is "bacterial SSU rRNA". It matches the Rfam family "Bacterial small subunit ribosomal RNA", at positions 75 to 928 of the family's 1533-position model. The record is from RNAcentral.